Molecule: non-coding RNA, 148 nt
Filed under: Gorilla gorilla gorilla (western lowland gorilla)
Lineage: Eukaryota; Metazoa; Chordata; Mammalia; Primates; Hominidae
Source: Rfam by way of RNAcentral
GCCGGGUGUGGUGGUGCAUGCCUGUAAUCCCAGCUACUUGGGAGGCUGAGGCAGGAGAAUCGCUUGAGCUUGGGAGGCAGAGCUUGCAGUGAGCCGAGAUCACGCCACUGCACUCCAGCCUGGGCGACAAAGCGAGACUCUGUCUCAA